AAAAGAUGCUCUCUCUGAAGCAGUAUUGCAAAAGGAAAUAUUACAAUUCAAAUCUCUUGUCUUUCAGCUAAAAGGAAUAGAUGUGAGAACUGUCUAUAUUUUUAACUUUUUCAUACAUGAACCCAAGUGGAACUCUGUAUGACACAAGAGAGAGGAAUGGAACUUAUCCUGCUCAUUGCUGCCGCAUGAGGGUAGCAUUAAAGAAAGAGACAAAAGAAGAAAUGGAAUAGAGUUUCAAGUGAGGUAGAGGCUUGCCAGGGGAAUCAGUCAGAGGGAGGAAGCAAUACAUUCCUCUAGUGUCUGAAAAAGCAAAUAAAAAAUGAAGGCACACGUGGAAGCCUCCUAGCAUCUUGGUGUCUGGGAAGAUGAGAAAAAAAGACCUUCAGUACCAACUGUAUCAUCAUGAAUAUAUAGUCAAGAAUGAAGAGGAAAGAAAAUAAAAGAAAAAGUGAAGUAUCUUGUGGUACAUUUUAAGAGACAGGCUUGGAUAUUACUCCUGCUCAAGUCCCACUGGCCAGAGCCAAGUCACUUCACUCCAAAAUAAAACUGCAAAGAGGACUAGGAAAUAUCAUAUGUCAAGGAAGAG
RNAcentral lists this long non-coding RNA (586 nucleotides) under Homo sapiens (human). Its description in RNAcentral is "HSALNT0162887". Lineage: Eukaryota; Metazoa; Chordata; Mammalia; Primates; Hominidae. The record is from RNAcentral.